UACGUAGGUGGCAAGCGUUUGUCCGGAUUUAUUGGGUUUAAAGGGUGCGUAGGCGGCUUUGUAAGUCAGUGGUGAAAUACUCCAGCUUAACUGGAGGGGUGCCAUUGAUACUGCGGAGCUUGAGUACAGAUGAGGUAGGCGGAAUUGACGGUGUAGCGGUGAAAUGCUUAGAUAUCGUCAAGAACACCGAUAGCGAAGGCAGCUUACUAGACUGUAACUGACGCUGAUGCACGAAAGUGUGGGGAUCAAACAGG
This 254-nucleotide ribosomal RNA is filed under the name uncultured bacterium. Its description in RNAcentral is "partial 16S ribosomal RNA". It matches the Rfam family "Bacterial small subunit ribosomal RNA", at positions 524 to 776 of the family's 1533-position model. The record is from RNAcentral.